Molecule: long non-coding RNA, 645 nt
Organism: Alosa sapidissima (American shad)
Lineage: Eukaryota; Metazoa; Chordata; Actinopteri; Clupeiformes; Clupeidae
Exons: 3
Source: RefSeq, a predicted model, not a curated record
CCAUCAGUGAGUCACAUUUAGUAAACAUUUCCAAAGUAAAGAUAUUACAAUAUGUUGACAUUUGUGUAUAAUUGCUAAAUCCCAUAAACAUAAUUGACAUGGAAAUUAAAUGCAGCAGAUUACUGUCCCUUCCUGGCAAGCUGAUUUCUGCAAAGAGGGUAUUUCCUAGAUAUCAAUUAAAAUGUGUAAAUUUGACCCAUGAACACAUUUAAUAGAUGAGAGAAGGACUUGUUUAAUGUCUUGUUGUCUUUAUAGGAACGGUGAUAAAUCAUCAUUACAUCUUCUUUGAGUAUUGUAGAUCUGAGGUGGUCAGGAGGGCAAUAAAUUCAAAAAGGGGUAUAAGGCAGAUUGAAAAGGCUCCUGAAAAGAGGAUCUUUUGGAAGCCAUGCAACACCUGGUUGUAUAGGGACCUUUUACUGACCGGUGUCACGCUAUCUGACAAAAUAUUCUUUGGUCACCAUUAGUCUUCAGUUUUUUCGGUGCACGUUGACUUCCAGUCAGUCUACGUGAACUCCUGUACAUCUGUAACUUGAUUUAAGCUAUCAAACAUUUCAUUUUGAUAAUACCUAAUGCUGAAACUGACAUCUCUGUGACCUGAAGUACACCUCAGUGACACCAAGCAAACUAUUUUUUAAUUAUCUCUUU